AAUGGAGGGAACUCUGAACCAGCCAUGCCGCGUGCAGGAUGAAAGCCCUCUGGGUUGUAAACUGCUUUUAACAGGGAAGAAAAUGCUAUACGCGAUAUAGUACUGACGGUACCUGAGGAAUAAGCACCGGCUAACUCCGUGCCAGCAGCCGCGGUAAUACGGAGGGUGCAAGCGUUAUCCGGAAUCACUGGGUUUAAAGGGUGCGUAGGCGGUUUUAUAAGUCAGUGGUAAAAGGUUGUAGCUCAACUAUAAGAGGUCCAUUGAUACUGUAAGACUUGAAUCGAGUUGAGGUUGGCGGAAUGAGACAUGUAGCGGUGAAAUGCUUAGAUAUGUCAUAGAACACCAAUUGCGAAGGCAGCUGACUAGACUUAGAUUGACGCUGAGGCACGAAAGUGUGGGUAGCGAA
RNAcentral lists this ribosomal RNA (406 nucleotides) under uncultured bacterium. Its description in RNAcentral is "bacterial SSU rRNA". It matches the Rfam family "Bacterial small subunit ribosomal RNA", at positions 370 to 772 of the family's 1533-position model. The record is from RNAcentral.